GAUGACGGUACCUNAAGAAUAAGCACCGGCUAACUACGUGCCAGCAGCCGCGGUAAUACGUAGGGUGCAAGCGUUAAUCGGAAUUACUGGGCGUAAAGCGUGCGCAGGCGGUUAUAUAAGACAGAUGUGAAAUCCCCGGGCUCAACCUGGGAACUGCCUUUGUGACUGUAUAGCUUGAGUGCGGCAGAGGGGGAUGGAAUUCCGCGUGUAGCAGUGAAAUGCGUAGAUAUGCGGAGGAACACCGAUGGCGAAGGCAAUCCCCUGGGCCUGCACUGACGCUCAUGCACGAAAGCGUGGGGAGCAAACAGGAUUAGAUACCCUGGUAGUCCACGCCCUAAACGAUGUCAACUGGUUGUUGGG
Molecule: ribosomal RNA, 360 nt
Filed under: uncultured bacterium
Lineage: Bacteria
Description: bacterial SSU rRNA
Rfam family: Bacterial small subunit ribosomal RNA
Source: RNAcentral